RNAcentral lists this ribosomal RNA (494 nucleotides) under uncultured bacterium. RNAcentral's name for it is "partial 16S ribosomal RNA". It matches the Rfam family "Bacterial small subunit ribosomal RNA", at positions 28 to 507 of the family's 1533-position model. The record is from RNAcentral.
GACGAACGCUGGCGGCGUGCUUAACACAUGCAAGUCGAACGGUGAAGCGCCUUCCUUUUUGGUGGGUGUGGAUGAGUGGCGAACGGGUGAGUAACACGUGAGUAACCUGCCCCCUUCUUCUGGAUAACCGCAUGAAAGUGUGGCUAAUACGGGAUAUUCUGGGUCUGUCGCAUGAUGGGUCUGGGAAAGAUAUUGUUUCGGUGGGGGAUGGGCUCGCGGCCUAUCAGCUUGUUGGUGGGGUGAUGGCCUACCAAGGCGAUGACGGGUAGCCGGCCUGGGAGGGUGGACGGUCACACUGGGACUGAGACACGGCGCAGACUGCUACGGGAGGCAGCAGUGGGGAAUAUUGCACAAUGGGCGCAAGCCUGAUGCAGCGACGCCGCGUGAGGGAUGGAGGCCUUCGGGUUGUGAACCUCUUUCGCCAGUGAAGCAGGCCUGCCUCGUUUGUGGGUGGGUUGACGGUAGCUGGAUAAGAAGCGCCGGCUAACUACGUG